GCCAGGCGUGGUGGCGUGUGCCUGUAAUCCCAGCUACUCGGAGGCUGAGGCAGGAGAAUUGCUUGAACCCGGGAGGCAGAGGUUGUACUGCAGUGAGCUGAGAUUGCGCCACUGCACUCCAGCCUGGGUGACACAGCGAGACUCCGUCUCAA
Molecule: unclassified non-coding RNA, 152 nt
Organism: Macaca fascicularis (crab-eating macaque)
Lineage: Eukaryota; Metazoa; Chordata; Mammalia; Primates; Cercopithecidae
Rfam family: Metazoan signal recognition particle RNA
About the family: The signal recognition particle (SRP) is a universally conserved ribonucleoprotein. It is involved in the co-translational targeting of proteins to membranes.
Source: Ensembl